GUUGAAUUGAUUCAUAAGAUCCGUAUCAACCUUCAUCAUGGGUCUCCUGAAUUGAUUCAAAUUUGGUUUAAUACAUAUCAAUAUUUGUAGUACAUCUUGCUUGUCUUUUUGCUAUCUGAAUCGAUUCACACAUUAAGUGAAUCGAUUCAUUUUGUUGUUUUUGGCCGAAAUAUUGCACUUAUCACCCUUUUCUAUACAUACCCACUUCCUCAUAACACCUAAACUACUGAAUCAUUUGCAUCUAUUCCCUCUAGAGUCUCCAACCCUCAUUGUUCACAUUAAACAUUUUUUCUAAGAAUCAGUGUGUUCCUUUGAGUCAUAAAUUGCCAGAGUGCUAUUUAGAUUGGAAGUUGAUUGCUUUCUAGGAUAUUGAUAGGAAAUCAAGGAUCUAAAGUGAAUUGAGUAAUUUCAUUCCACCUCCAAGGGUAUUGGGGGUUCUUUCUAAAGUUUUCGUGUUCAAGGGGAUCCAAUUGUCGGACGGAGCAUCAAAGAGUUCGAGUGAAGAGCUUCAAGGGUUGCACGGAUGAUUGAGGAUUCGAAGACAUUAAGAAGCACCAAUUUCAAAUGUUAUUCGAAGAUUGGGGGAGUGAUUGCAUAGGAAUUGAAGAAUCAGGGUAGUUUCAAGGAAUUCUUGUAAUCACAUUGUAAUCAAACAUUCAUAUUCUAGUGGAAGUCCUUGGUGGAGACGUUUUCCAUCAAGAAUAGACGUAGCUCGAAGCGAGGACGAAAGGUUGAACUACUAUAAAUCUCGGUGUCGUUUCUCUUCCUUAUCCUCUUUAACUUUGAUUGAUUGUGUAUUUGAUUGCUUGAUAAAUUGUUAGAGUAGAAACUGAGUGUGAUCUAGGUUUAUUUUGUUAAACUUGAAUUAGUUUUUUUACCUCACUUGUAAUAGAUCACACUUGGUUUCAAUCUAUUGUCAAUUUAUCACACAUACACAAUUGUGUUCAUUAGUAUAAUUGAUUAAUUGCCAUUAGAUUUCGUUUGAGAUUUGCCUUAUUUUGUAACUUGUGUGAAAUUUAAAAAUAAUAGAUUGUGUUAAGAUUUGACUUUGAAUCUCUCAAUUUCUAGUGAAUCUUAUCAUUUGAACAUAGUCUUAAUAAUUUUUUCAUUGCCGUUUAAUCAAGCAUAAAUCCAAUACGUCAUCAAUUGUUUUCAAAAAUCGCUUUGGCUAUAGACUCGAUAAAUUUUAAAUCACCAUUCACGUCCUCCCUCUAGCGCAUAUUACUUUGCCAUAUAGACAACAAUUACAUCUUUAAUGCAUUAUUUAGACAUCUAAUUUUUUCAUCAUUCGUUACUGUUGUUUGUCUUUUGGGAUUUUCACUUAUCUAUUAUGAAAUGCUAAGAUACAAAAAAAAUAAAAAAAUACAAUGGAGUUUUUUUUUAAAAAAAGAAUAUUUAAAUUUUAUAAUAAUUAAGAUUAAGAUUUUUACCAAGGUUAAGUGAUCAAUUGAAUGAGCUAAAGGGAUACACGCUACGUAUUGGUUAGAGAUAUUAAUUAUAAUUUUAUAAACGACUUCUUGAAACUCCUAAAUGUUAAAAACUAUUUAAUUAAUGUUAGCAAAGAAUGACAUUUUUACUUAUAAAGAGAUAAAUAACUUAUGUUUAUCACCUGGAAUAGAGAAAAAAAAUGGCUCAAAUUCUCAUGUUUUUUUAUUCUUUGAUCAUCUUUAUUUCUCUAUUAACUUCCCACCCAUGCAUUUCUGAUGAUGAUUGUCCAGAGGCGUUAUCUCCUCAAUUUCCAAAGUGCAUUCAUAAUGUUUGUGUGUACUUUGUGGAGGAGUAAGAAUUAAGCUUAAAAAUAGUAAUGUUACCUCCAUGUGUGUAAUUUUAUUUGUAUUUCAAAAUGUUUGUACCUGUAUAAUUUACUUCAACAUUAAUUCAUGUUUUUGUAUCAAUUUAAUUUUUAUAUAAAUAUUCUUAUCUUUGUUGUUCAUUGAAGAUAUCACAAAUAUUAGAGUUAAUGAAUAAUUAUAACAAGAUACCAUCAUUAAUAAAUGUAAUAUAUGAUUAUGUAAAUUAGUUAUUUAUUCUGCUUAAUAGUAAUAGUAGUGGCGUCGAAUAAUCAUGAUUCAGAACAAACCUUGAUAGUCAUGUUCUUCCAUCACGUUGAUCAUCCUUCCAAAGAAGAAGACGAAGUACUGGGGCCAUCCAUCAUCACCACCUCUCCACCAACGCAAAGCAAGAUAGCCUGCACGAAGAUCCGGUCUUGAUGAAUGCUUUUACGAACAAGGUUACGAGUAUCCCAUACCCCAAUCCUUAUAAAGGUAUCAGUGCAUUAAAUUAACAACUUAAAGGAUCAAUUUAAAACUUAAAAAACUUAGAGGAAU
RNAcentral lists this long non-coding RNA (2327 nucleotides) under Medicago truncatula (barrel medic). RNAcentral's name for it is "lncRNA gene39182". Lineage: Eukaryota; Viridiplantae; Streptophyta; Magnoliopsida; Fabales; Fabaceae. The record is from RNAcentral.